ACUAAUCCAAGUUCAUCUUCCUUAUUCAAAUAUUAGCAGUAAUCUUUGAAUCAUCCUUGAAGUGUAGUGUGUGAGAUAGCCAUGCUAAUGCAAUUUCAAGUUUUUAUUUUUAAAAUCAUCAUAUGCAAACUAGUAACCUUCUCACGGGAUAUACACUCAAUCACAUAUGUGUUUAGUUUUAGUGUGUUUCGCUCAAAGAAACAAAUGUGAAAUUUCUACCAUAAGCUUGCAUAAAGAUCACUUCUCCACAGUCAUAAUUGCAAAACUUAAAUCAAGAGGACUUUUAUUGGAUGUAAUGAGGCUUAGGGAUAGGGUUAUUGAAACGAAAGAAUAGGAAACACAAAUUCCAAGCUACAUUGCAAGCAAUUUUUCUCUUUAGAUUUAUAAGAACUCAAGCUCUCCAACAAUUCUUCUAGCACCUCCAACCAUACCCUUAAACUGAAACUUGAACAACUUUUUAUUUUCUUUGUGUACAAUUUUUCUUUUUCUUUUUCUUUUCUUCUCUUUUUUCCCUUUUUUUUUUUUUUUUAUACAAACAUGAAAUACCCCCACACUUAUUCUUUUGCCAAACACCUUCAAAGUACUUCACAAACGUUUCUCAUAAGACAAUUUCGCAUUGCUCGCUUGGAAAGGGUAAGGAAAAAUGUUUCAGGUAUAAGGGUAGACAUAUCUGGUGAUAAGAAAUAAAAGGCUCAACAUACACGGCUCAAAUUGGCAAUCUAAUGAUAUCAUUUUUCUUUGGGAAACAUGGUUAUUUGGGCCAUGGUGGUAAACCUAAUGCCUCUAUCAUUUCCAAGUUCAUGCAAUCAAUGACAAACAUUUCGAAAGAUCGUUACGCAAGUUCUAGAGAUGUAUCUCACAUAAGUUCAUCACACAUGAAAGAAUAGGAGUGUAUGAAAAAUGCACACACUUUCAAUCGGCUCAAAAACUCACAUAGGAUGUAUAUGGUCACUAAAUUCACAUAUGAAGCUUUAAGUCAUACUUUAGUUUCACAUCAACAAGGCUAUGUGCAUUUGGUUUUUCAAAGAUGAUCAAACAUGUACAAAACUAACAAGAGAAUAAGGAAUUUCACAAAACACAUGUUAACUAAGUUCUUGAUGAUCAUGGUUCGAAUUUGAUCCAAUUAUAUCAUUGGGUCGGGAAACUAACAAAAAUCUAAUUCAAAACAAUAAGGGAAACAAGACAAUUUUUUAUUUUUUAAAAUUUUCCGAAAUUUUUUUUUUUUUUUUUUUUUUUUUUUUUUUUUUUUUUUUUUUUAAUGAAAACAAAACUAAUUAAGAAAACAAAAAGCAACAACAUGGAAACAAAUGAAAUUCUAGAGAUGUCUACCCCCACACUUAAACUGGACAUUGUCCCCAAUGUCAGAAAACACUAUAAUGCAAAUAAAAAUAAAAUAAAUAAAUAAAUAAGAAACAAAAUAAAACAAUUGGACUGAAAACUUCCCUAAUUUGCAGUAAAAUCAAGCGAUGACCCCCAAGCUAAAAUUCUGCAAUCAACUUCAAGGGUGGAAAUAACUAAAAGUUCCUGCAAAGAAAAGAAAUAAUUCAGUUAAGUACGCAAGAAAAUUAAUUAAAAAAAAAUGCAAACGAAAAAUUGAAAAUUACGAUAAAAGAUAAUGAAUAAAACUAAUAAGUAAUCAUUGGUCGUGCUUGUUGACUUUCCACAGCUUUCCUCUUGAACAGGGUGACACUUAGCUUUUUACUUGCAAGUGAUGAUUUGAUGAUAUUGUACGGCGAGGCUUUGCUCUUUGGGAAUGUUGCAGUUCCUUAUUUGUUCUCCAAGCAGAUGUGGCAG
This 1794-nucleotide long non-coding RNA is filed under the name Malus domestica (apple). RNAcentral describes it as "long non-coding RNA (MDOM_LNC008160)". The record is from RNAcentral. Lineage: Eukaryota; Viridiplantae; Streptophyta; Magnoliopsida; Rosales; Rosaceae.